This 461-nucleotide ribosomal RNA is filed under the name uncultured bacterium. Its description in RNAcentral is "bacterial SSU rRNA". It matches the Rfam family "Bacterial small subunit ribosomal RNA", at positions 28 to 490 of the family's 1533-position model. The record is from RNAcentral.
GAUGAACGCUGGCGGCGUGCUUAACACAUGCAAGUCGAACGGGAAACAUUUCAUUGAGGCUUCGGCGGAUUUGAUCUGUUUCUAGUGGCGGACGGGUGAGUAACGCGUGGGUAACCUGCCUUAUACUGGGGGAUAACAGCCAGAAAUGACUGCUAAUACCGCAUAAGCGCACAGAACCGCAUGGUUCGGUGUGAAAAACUCCGGUGGUAUAAGAUGGACCCGCGUUGGAUUAGCUAGUUGGCAGGGCAGCGGCCUACCAAGGCGACGAUCCAUAGCCGGCCUGAGAGGGUGAACGGCCACAUUGGGACUGAGACACGGCCCAGACUCCUACGGGAGGCAGCAGUGGGGAAUAUUGCACAAUGGGGGAAACCCUGAUGCAGCGACGCCGCGUGAAGGAAGAAGUAUCUCGGUAUGUAAACUUCUAUCAGCAGGGAAGAUAAUGACGGUACCUGACUAAGAAG